AUUGAACGCUGGCGGCAGGCCUAACACAUGCAAGUCGAGCGGAUGAAGGGAGCUUGCUCCUGGAUUCAGCGGCGGACGGGUGAGUAAUGCCAAGGAAUCUGCCUGGUAGUGGGGGAUAACGUCCGGAAACGGGCGCUAAUACCGCAUACGUCCUGAGGGAGAAAGUGGGGGAUCUUCGGACCUCACGCUAUCAGAUGAGCCUAGGUCGGAUUAGCUAGUUGGUGGGGUAAAGGCCUACCAAGGCGACGAUCCGUAACUGGUCUGAGAGGAUGAUCAGUCACACUGGAACUGAGACACGGUCCAGGCUCCUACGGGAGGCAGCAGUGGGGAAUAUUGGACAAUGGGCGAAAGCCUGAUCCAGCCAUGCCGCGUGUGUGAAGAAGGUCUUCGGAUUGUAAAGCACUUUAAGUUGGGAGGAAGGGCAGUAAGUUAAUACCUUGCUGUUUUGACGUUACCAACAGAAUAAGCACCGGCUAACUUCGUG
This 484-nucleotide ribosomal RNA is filed under the name uncultured bacterium. RNAcentral describes it as "partial 16S ribosomal RNA". It matches the Rfam family "Bacterial small subunit ribosomal RNA", at positions 30 to 507 of the family's 1533-position model. The record is from RNAcentral.